UUUGGGUUGUUUGGGGUUUUCCUCAGGGGGGUGUGUAUAAAUCCGUGCUGGAGUUUCGCGGCUCCGUGCCCGGAGUUUGUCGCUCAGCUCCGGCCGUGCCGCGGGCACACGCGGCGGGUGGGGGGCAGGAGAACAGAGCCCCAGAGGGGUACAGACCCCCGUUCCUCCCUCCCCUGUCCCCCUAACGCCAUCUCUCUGAGCACCGUGCCGCCGGCAGAGCUGUCACUCGAGGUUUCUGGCCAGCAGCACUGAGCACUGUCACUGAGGCCAACUUUUGGAAAUGCUGGGUUUUAACUGUGUGCCUGCAGGAGGGACAGGGACAUCCCUGGCUGUGCUGUGGGCUGGAGACAGGACAGCCCUCAACCCCUUCAACCCCUCAACCCCAAGGGUGAGUGCUUAGAAAAUGCAGGCAAAACCAAACCUGCAGUGAAAAAUUAGGGAGAGUGAGAGAGGAGCCAUGCAGAGCAGUCUGUGUGUGCAGGAAAUAUCCUGAACCUCCUGCCUGAGGUUUUCCCUUUCCCCCAUGGGAUGUGCUGGUGGCUGGGGCAUCUCAAGGGCUUUGUUGCUGUAGAAAAUCCCUGAUAUCUCUGUACCAGAGGAGCUCACAUCUCCCAGAUCUCCAAAUUCCCCAUCAAACUGAGAAAUCCCCACCCCAGUGAGUUGCUGCAGCCCCUACCAAGCCCCCAUCAUGGACCAUCCCUUGCAGGACAGUUUUGGGAAGCCCAAUGGCUCUGCAAUUCCUGUCUGGGCACCCUGUGAAGGAGGGGGGAGCCUCUCACACCCUCUCCUUGCCCUGAUGGAAUAAUUUCCACCAUUUUCCCACUUUUAGGCUUUGCCCCUAAACCCAGCCCCACAAAACCAGCAGGAAAAUGGAACCAAAAAACCCAAACCCAUCCUGGCCAUCAGGCCAAGCCCACAGCUCCCGUGGAGGGACCAGCAGACACAGACCUGCUCCAUCCCAGCACAGAGCAGAUUUCCCCUGCACUAAUUACUGCUAAUUGAGCCACUUGACUGUGGGGGAGCCCUGCCCUGGCCAGGCUGAUAGAGUAUCAGGGAGAUAAGGAGCACUCAGCACAGGUAACGGGGAAGUGUUGGCAGAGCUGUGGUGGCACCUUCUGGAGGGGUUAUCUCCCCUCCCCAGAGCACAGGACACCCAGUUCCAAAGGGAAACACUCUGGCCCUGAGGAUCUGUGCAGAGCCUAAGAGUGAUCUUCAAGAGAGGCUGAAAAGCUUUUCUAGGAGGUGCCCUGUGGGAUUUUGGUGACUCAGGAGCUCAGCAAAUCAAGCUGGCAUUCAUUUCUGAGUAACUCUUUUAAAUUUCCUUAACAUGCAUUUUAUUCCUUUGGCUGGCUUUUGCUGUUGUUAAUUUAACACCGUGCAAAUGAAACUUUAAACAUUUUUCCCCCUUUUUUCUUCCCUACAGAGAAAUAAAUGUUUUUCUUUUAACAAAUCCUGUCUCUCUCAGCACUUUUGUUAUUUUUCACCACCUCCACUGGCCUACACAGAGUAAUUCAGCUCCUACACCAUCCUGAGCACCAGCUGGGCAUUCCAUGGAAGUCCUGCUGCCCUGACCCUGCUCUGGGAUCAAGCACUGUCACUGCAGGACACAAAAUAACAUGACGUGGACACACUGCUCUUUUCAAGGUAAAAGGGACUUUUUAAUUUCUGACUCCAGCAUUUGUAGAUUUCCAAAAGUGACCGUGGAUUGGAGGGUGACAGUGCCGCCUCUCCAAUGACACUGGACAAACCAACAGUCCAUCAGAUUUCUCUUCUUCCAUGAAAUAAUGCAAAAAAUAAGUUAGUUUCAUAAAGUGUGUGGAAAAGUUCAUUACAAGAAUGUAAACCUCAGAAGGCUUAGAAAAACUUAAAAAAUCAGGGUGACACCACACAUCAGCCCAAGGGCCUUUCCAGAGCCCACCUCCCUUGGCAGCCUGGACUAGGAGUGGACAGCAGGACACAGGGAUGCCAAGUGGAGAAUAAUAAUUUCUUAAAACAUAGGACUGCCUGUGUUUGCCUAACCAGGUCUUCUCUUUGGUCUAAGUCAAAGCCAGGCUCAGCUUUAAGCUGGGAAAUACUGGAGGUGUAUAAAAGGGAUGAUUUGAUUUCCCAGGUAUGUUCUGCCCAGUGGGUGCUUGGGGGAAGAUGUGCAGAACCACCACAGCUGUCAGAAGAUUUUUGGGUUGUGUCCCUAGCCCUGACUUUCACUGAUGAACCGAGGCUUUUCUCUUUGUGUGUGUUUUGUUUUAAAUUUAAACAAGGGCCCUUUGCACACUCGACACAAUCCAUCCACUUAGCACUGAAGAAAGUGUAAUUAGACACUUGGAGAACUGGAAGAAAUUAACUCCGACCACAGCCCGUCACUCAGACUAUUACUUAAUAAUAUUUCCCAAAUGUGCAAAGCACUUAGUUCUGCAAUAACAGGAAAGGAGUGUAACUUCUCACCCUGAGCAGGGCUCUGCCGUGUGGAGCACACAGGAAAACCUCACCAGCACCAGGAGAUGUUCUGCCACCUCCCAUCAUCACCUGAGAGCCACCAGGAGAUGGGAAGGAUGCCAUUCAUGGUCCCCAGUCCAUGGCACUGAAGGGCUGGAAGGGAGUCAAGGGCAGUGCCCAGUCCAAGGUGCUCAGCUUCCCAGGAGAAAAUCCUGGGCGAGGAGGAUUUUUCAGAAAGCAUCCUGGUGAAUUCGGGCUGCGUGCGAGGAGAUCUCCCCCAGCUUCCAACACGCCACGGAAACCGCGGAGAAAUUGCUGCUUUCCUUCUCCUGCACGGCCCGGCCUCAGCCCUCGCUGCAGAACCCUGGCCAGAAAGGGAUGAUUGUGAUCCCUGCCCGUUUCUUUGCUCACUAAAAGGGCCCAUUCAUCCUGGCUAAUUCUGAGGGGUAUCAGUGGCAGGAGCUGGAGCUGAGUGUCUCCAGCCCAACUAGGGAAACAGAUCUCCUUGCCUCGGAGCUCUGGAGGGGAGCAUUUCUCUGCUUUUAAACACAAAUGUCUUUGCUGGCCAUGGCAAGUUUUAAAAAAGUCCUGACGAAGCAGGGCUGGGUCAUUUUCCCAGCAAAAACAAGAGGCUGUUUAAAAAGUGGGGGGAAAAGGUUGUUCUCAUCUAUUUCUGCUUCAGGAGCCAACACAGCCACCUUCACCUGCUUUAAUUACCCCUCACAUAUCAAUGAGGCCGUGUCCAGAACAAUGAACCGCUUGCCUUGUUGCAAGACAUUGAAAAAAUUUGAUUUUUUUAAUAAAAACAUCCGUGAUGCCUUAAAUGCUGAAGUCAUUGUGAAUUCCAGCUCCCAGGAUUUCCCCAUGUGUGUGGGAAGAGCUGCAAUGUAAUUGCUUUCAG
Melospiza melodia melodia is the source of this 3334-nucleotide long non-coding RNA. RefSeq lists it as uncharacterized. The record is from RefSeq and is a predicted model, not a curated record. The transcript is spliced from 4 exons. Lineage: Eukaryota; Metazoa; Chordata; Aves; Passeriformes; Passerellidae.